This 74-nucleotide transfer RNA is filed under the name Richelia sp. RM2_1_2. RNAcentral's name for it is "tRNA-Gln". It matches the Rfam family "tRNA". From Rfam's summary of the family: Transfer RNA (tRNA) molecules are approximately 80 nucleotides in length. Their secondary structure includes four short double-helical elements and three loops (D, anti-codon, and T loops). Lineage: Bacteria; Bacillati; Cyanobacteriota; Cyanophyceae; Nostocales; Nostocaceae. The record is from RNAcentral.
UUGGGGAUAGUUUAAUGGUAGAACAACGGGCUUUGGACCCGUUAGUCUUGGUUCGAAUCCAGGUCCCCAAACCA